RNAcentral lists this non-coding RNA (85 nucleotides) under marine eukaryotic metagenome. The record is from RNAcentral.
GGAAUCUGUGAUGAGAUUGGGCAGAAGUCAGCAGAGGCCAUAGUAGCCAAACGGUCGGGGUAAUGCCCGGCACAGGGUGAAGGGC